CAGUCGCCACGGGAAUACGGAGGGUGCAAGCGUUAAUCGGAAUUACUGGGCGUAAAGCGCACGCAGGCGGUCUGUCAAGUCGGAUGUGAAAUCCCCGGGCUCAACCUGGGAACUGCAUUCGAAACUGGCAGGCUAGAGUCUUGUAGAGGGGGGUAGAAUUCCAGGUGUAGCGGUGAAAUGCGUAGAGAUCUGGAGGAAUACCGGUGGCGAAGGCGGCCCCCUGGACAAAGACUGACGCUCAGGUGCGAAAGCGUGGGGAGCAAACAGGAUUAGAUACCCGGGUAGUCCCUGUCUCUUAUAC
RNAcentral lists this ribosomal RNA (301 nucleotides) under uncultured bacterium. Its description in RNAcentral is "partial 16S ribosomal RNA". It matches the Rfam family "Bacterial small subunit ribosomal RNA", at positions 509 to 807 of the family's 1533-position model. The record is from RNAcentral.